UGCAAACAAUUUCAUCAAAUUAAAAAAUCUCUUCUGUCCUUAUAUACAGGUAUUAUAACAAUACAUGGAAAUUAGACGACACUACAUGCGAUUAUGCUCAAAAGUAUUUGUGUUCUGCUUAAGCGGAAAUCGACGGAAAUGAAGGGUACCUCAUUCAUGAAAUCACUCCGCGAAUUAUAUUACUGCAAUCGCAUGGCUCGUAAAUAAAUCGUACGUGUAGUUUAGUUGCAUGUCUAAUGGAAAUUUAGUUUAUUAUUAUUGUUAUUGCAUGCUAUAAAACUUGUUGAAUUGCAGGACAAUAAAUAAUCUAAGCAUAAA
Molecule: long non-coding RNA, 318 nt
Filed under: Saccoglossus kowalevskii
Lineage: Eukaryota; Metazoa; Hemichordata; Enteropneusta; Harrimaniidae
Description: uncharacterized LOC102802457
Source: RNAcentral